Long non-coding RNA from Rhinolophus ferrumequinum (greater horseshoe bat), 703 nucleotides. RefSeq lists it as uncharacterized. The transcript is spliced from 3 exons. The record is from RefSeq and is a predicted model, not a curated record. NCBI's taxonomy places the organism in Eukaryota, Metazoa, Chordata, Mammalia, Chiroptera, Rhinolophidae.
GACAGCGACACCGUCAGGGUCAGCGCCCGCAGCGGCCCCCACCCCGGCGAUCGGCGCCUGCACCCUGGGCUCCCCUCCCAGCACUUCUGAUCCUGGGAUGCCCACGGCCAGAAGGCCCUUCACCUUCACCCUGUCUUGCAACAUGCUGAGGUCUUGGGGAAGUCACACGUACUCUCGGUGCCUCGGUUUCCCCUCUGCUUCAGGGAGCUUCAGUGAUCGGCGACAAGGGCCAACCCAAGCCAGCCCAGGAACUCCACAUGUAGGAUCAUAUUGGCGUAACAGAGGACAAGAGGGGGUGGGACAAAACCCAGGCAUUAGGCACCCAAGUUUGGAAACGAUUCUUGUUCUGCUCAUGCUCCAGCUUAGCUCGACCCCUCCCAGCCCCACAGCCUCCACAGGGUACAGCCUCCUGUCAGGACUCCAGUUCCUUGGCUCAACAGGGAGUCCCUCGAAAAAAGGGUUGGAGUUGGCCUUGGCCCAGCACCUUCCAGCAAAGCUGGCCCCGGGACACAGCGUAAGGAAACUGAGGCUCAGAGAGGGAAAAUGACUCGCUCACGGUCACACAGGCAAGCCAUCUCGUUUGAGACUCCAGCUUCCACCGAACCUCAGGGCUCAAGACAAGCAAGUCUGACCCCUUCUGGAAAACCUGCCUUGGAGGCAAUUUGCCAAGCGGAGGCCCAGCCCCACCCCUGCCCUCUGCACC